AUGCAAGGUCCUAAAACCAGCACCAAGACCUUCAAGCAGGCCUUCCUCAAGAAACUCAUCCUCGGCCUGCAGCUCCAGGGACGCAUGAGAACUUCCUUCGGCAGCGACGCCAUGAGCCUCCACGAGAGGAAGCUCGCCAUCAAGUCCUCCGCCAACGCCGCCAUGGUGGCCGCGCGUCGUGCCUCCCGCACCGACGCGAGGUGGCCCAAGGCCAUCUUGGCCUCGGCGGCCGUCUCACCAUCAUCCAGCGCGUGCAAGGUGCAGAGGUGCAGGCGGAUGGUGAGCAGAUGCUGCCGCCGGAAGAGGAGCUGGAUUAGAUCAGGUCGCGCUAGUGGUGGCGACGUUGCGAGGAGGAUAAUGGUGCUGAGGGAGGUGAUACCCGGAGGCCGGGACGCCACCGUCAACGAGGCCACCCUACUACGCGAGGCCAUGGACUACGCAGUGCACCUGCGCGCUCAGGUCGACAUGCUCCGCCUGCUAUCGGAAGCCGUGCAAAGAUCCAGCUCCUGCUCGGCUGCUCCCGGCGGUGUCAGCAGUGAUUAA
This 543-nucleotide ribosomal RNA is filed under the name Triticum aestivum (bread wheat). Its description in RNAcentral is "partial small subunit ribosomal RNA". The record is from RNAcentral. Lineage: Eukaryota; Viridiplantae; Streptophyta; Magnoliopsida; Poales; Poaceae.